Heterocephalus glaber (naked mole-rat) is the source of this 561-nucleotide non-coding RNA. The record is from RefSeq and is a predicted model, not a curated record. NCBI's taxonomy places the organism in Eukaryota, Metazoa, Chordata, Mammalia, Rodentia, Bathyergidae.
GGUGUGCCAUUCCUGGGGCGCCUCCCUGAAGAGGUCACUCUGGGUGAAACAGAUACAAAGAAAUGAACAUGGGAGGGGAAGUGCACCCACACUUCAAGGACUCAGGACCCUAUAAAACUCGAAGCUUCAUGUUCAUUGUUCUGCCUGACAAUCAGAUGCAAAGUGAAGCCGAUGGAGACAGACUCAACUAAUUUGGGGCUGUACAGGAAUUAAAUACAAGGAUGAAAGAAGUCAGUAAGGCUUCUUUAAAGAGGAUUACGAAACCAAAGGACAGAGUUUUUGCAACCUUCAUGCUUACACCUAGACUCCUAUGAAGAAAUGUGUCACAACUCACUGGCAUCACCGGUGUACCAACCUGUGUCCCAAGCCUUCACUAACAGGGGAUGUUGUCCACUUUCAUGAAAAUAUCAGCCAAUCUCAUCAAACAAUAUUAUUUUAAAUGUAUCCCCUGACCCAAGAAUCCUACCUCCCAGAGGAUGCUCGUGAUAUCACAAUUUGUAGUGGAAAGUCACAUAUACCAAAUCUACCACUCUAUGCAAUUCCAAUAAAAUGCUAGCAAGA